CGCUGAGGCGCGAAAGCGUGGGGAGCGAACAGGAUUAGAUACCCUGGUAGUCCACGCUGUAAACGAUGAAUGCUAGGUGUAGGGGGUAUCGACCCCUUCUGUGCCGGAGCGAACGCAAUAAGCAUUCCGCCUGGGGAGUACGGCCGCAAGGUUGAAACUCAAAGGAAUUGACGGGGGCCCGCACAAGCAGCGGAGCAUGUGGUUUAAUUCGACGCAACGCGAAGAACCUUACCAGGUCUUGACAUCGAUCUAAGCCCUUAGAGAUAGGGGGUCCCUUCGGGGGAGAGAAGACAGGUGGUGCAUGGUUGUCGUCAGCUCGUGUCGUGAGAUGUUGGGUUAAGUCCCGCAACGAGCGCAACCCUUAUGAUCAGUUACUAACGGGCAAAGCCGAGGACUCUGAUGAGACCGCCGGGGACAACUCGGAGGAAGGUGGGGACGACGUCAAAUCAUCAUGCCCCUUAUGACCUGGGCUACACACGUGCUACAAUGGUGGCAACAAAGAGGAGCGAAAGCGCGAGCUGGAGCGGAUCUCAAAAAAGCCAUCUCAGUUCGGAUUGUGGGCUGCAACCCGCCCACAUGAAGUUGGAGUUGCUAGUAAUCG
Molecule: ribosomal RNA, 601 nt
Filed under: uncultured bacterium
Lineage: Bacteria
Description: bacterial SSU rRNA
Rfam family: Bacterial small subunit ribosomal RNA
Source: RNAcentral